GACAGAGGUGCCGAGCGUUAGGCGGAAUCACUGGGCUUAAAGCGUGUGUAGGCGGGUCCGUAAGUACCUUGUGAAAUCCCACGGCUCAACCGUGGAACUGCUUGGUAUACUGCGGGUCUGAGCCACCUAGGGGCAAGCGGAACAAGCGGUGGAGCGGUGAAAUGCGUAGAUAUCGCUUGGAACGCCAAUGGUGAAAACAGCUUGCUGGGGGUGUGC
RNAcentral lists this ribosomal RNA (216 nucleotides) under uncultured bacterium. RNAcentral's name for it is "partial 16S ribosomal RNA". It matches the Rfam family "Bacterial small subunit ribosomal RNA", at positions 524 to 740 of the family's 1533-position model. The record is from RNAcentral.